GUGUUUCAAUUUAUUUUUGCCAACAAAAUACAUUCAAAGUGUGGUAUGUGUGUGUAACGUAGGCCGAUUUCUCGAGCCUACAAAAGGUGCACGUGGUGUCAAGUGAGGGUUCACUGGAAAAACUCCGGGGAGUGCACAUGCCCGUUCGUUACGGGCCAGCAAGCAUCCCCAGGGCGUUCUCGGUAAUGAUCCUUCCACAGGUUCACCUACAGAAA
This 215-nucleotide unclassified non-coding RNA is filed under the name uncultured fungus. RNAcentral's name for it is "sequence contains ITS1". Lineage: Eukaryota; Fungi. The record is from RNAcentral.